ACACUGGUACUGAGACAGGACCAGACUCCUACGGAGGCAGCAGUGAGGAAUAUUAGACAAUGGGCGAAAGCCUGAUCUAGCCAUGCCGCGUGCAGGAUGACGGCCCUAUGGGUUGUAAACUGCUUUUAUACAGGAAGAAAAAACUCUACGUGU
Molecule: ribosomal RNA, 153 nt
Filed under: uncultured Gelidibacter sp.
Lineage: Bacteria; Pseudomonadati; Bacteroidota; Flavobacteriia; Flavobacteriales; Flavobacteriaceae
Description: partial 16S ribosomal RNA
Rfam family: Bacterial small subunit ribosomal RNA
Source: RNAcentral